GGUUACUUAGUUUAAGUUAAAAUAUUGGUUUUGUAAACCUAAGAUAAUUUUUUAUUAUUAACCA
This 64-nucleotide transfer RNA is filed under the name Cloacotaenia megalops. RNAcentral describes it as "tRNA-Thr". It matches the Rfam family "tRNA". From Rfam's summary of the family: Transfer RNA (tRNA) molecules are approximately 80 nucleotides in length. Their secondary structure includes four short double-helical elements and three loops (D, anti-codon, and T loops). Further hydrogen bonds mediate the characteristic L-shaped molecular structure. tRNAs have two regions of fundamental functional importance: the anti-codon, which is responsible for specific mRNA codon recognition, and the 3' end, to which the tRNAs corresponding amino acid is attached (by aminoacyl-tRNA synthetases). tRNAs cope with the degeneracy of the genetic code in two manners: having more than one tRNA (with a specific anti-codon) for a particular amino acid; and 'wobble' base-pairing, i.e. permitting non-standard base-pairing at the 3rd anti-codon position. The record is from RNAcentral. Lineage: Eukaryota; Metazoa; Platyhelminthes; Cestoda; Cyclophyllidea; Hymenolepididae.